Molecule: ribosomal RNA, 406 nt
Filed under: uncultured bacterium
Lineage: Bacteria
Description: partial 16S ribosomal RNA
Rfam family: Bacterial small subunit ribosomal RNA
Source: RNAcentral
AUUGAACGCUGGCGGCAGGCUUAACACAUGCAAGUCGAGCGAGCGGCGGACGGGUGAGUAAUGUCUGGGAAACUGCCUGAUGGAGGGGGAUAACUACUGGAAACGGUAGCUAAUACCGCAUACCAUCAGAUGUGCCCAGAUGGGAUUAGCUAGUAGGUGGGGUAAUGGCUCACCUAGGCGACGAUCCCUAGCUGGUCUCAGAGGAUGACCAACCACACUGGAACUUAUACCCGGUCCCGCCUCCUACGGGAGGCUGCAGUGGGGAAUAUUGCACAAUGGGCGCAAUCCUGAUACAGCCAUUCCGCGUGUGUUAAGAAGGCCUUCGGGUUGUAAAGCACUUUCAGCGAGGGGGCGUUACUCGCAGAAGAAGCACCGGCUAACUCCGUGCCAGCAGCCGCGGUAAUAC